GGGCGCAGCCUGAUGCAGCCAUGCCGCGUGUGUGAAGAAGGCCUUCGGAUUGUAAAGCACUUUCAGUGGGGAGGAAGGCGAUAAGGUUAAUACCUUUGUGUAUUGACGUUACCCACAGAAUAAGCACCGGCUAACUCCGUGCCAGCAGCCGCGGUAAUACGA
This 162-nucleotide ribosomal RNA is filed under the name uncultured Klebsiella sp. RNAcentral describes it as "partial 16S ribosomal RNA". It matches the Rfam family "Bacterial small subunit ribosomal RNA", at positions 373 to 528 of the family's 1533-position model. Lineage: Bacteria; Pseudomonadati; Pseudomonadota; Gammaproteobacteria; Enterobacterales; Enterobacteriaceae. The record is from RNAcentral.